GUGGGGAAUUUUGGACAAUGGGCGCAAGCCUGAUCCAGCAAUGCCGCGUGCAGGAAGAAGGCCUUCGGGUUGUAAACUGCUUUUGUACGGAACGAAACGGUCCUGGUUAAUACCUGGGGCUAAUGACGGUACCGUAAGAAUAAGCACCGGCUAACUACGUGCCAGCAGCCGCGGUAAUACGUAGGGUGCAAGCGUUAAUCGGAAUUACUGGGCGUAAAGCGUGCGCAGGCGGUUUUGUAAGACAGGCGUGAAAUCCCCGGGCUCAGCCUGGGAAUUGCGCUUGUGACUGCAAGGCUGGAGUGCGGCAGAGGGGGAUGGAAUUCCGCGUGUAGCAGUGAAAUGCGUAGAUAUGCGGAGGAACACCGAUGGCGAAGGCAAUCCCCUGGGCCUGCACUGACGCUCAUGCACGAAAGCGUGGGGAGCAAACAGGAUUAGAUACCCUUGUAGUCC
This 450-nucleotide ribosomal RNA is filed under the name uncultured bacterium. RNAcentral's name for it is "partial 16S ribosomal RNA". It matches the Rfam family "Bacterial small subunit ribosomal RNA", at positions 354 to 796 of the family's 1533-position model. The record is from RNAcentral.